CAAGUUAAUGAAAUUAUUACAUUUAAAACGGAGCUCUCUUCAGUGAAGAGAUUGGCAUGGUCCCUGCGUAAGGAUGACAGACAACUUUGUGAAGCGUUCCAUUUUUCU
This is a small nuclear RNA of Rattus rattus (black rat), 108 nucleotides long. The record is from RefSeq and is a predicted model, not a curated record. NCBI's taxonomy places the organism in Eukaryota, Metazoa, Chordata, Mammalia, Rodentia, Muridae.